ACCAAAAUGUGCACCCCUUUGGGGUCCUGGGGACUGAAUUUGUCAAACCUUGCAUAAGACCCUUUAUUUUUUAGAAAAACUAAAAUGUUCUAUUCAUCAGGCAGAUAAGCCUCAUGACCAUCUGAAGAACUGACCUGUGACAUUCUGGAGUGUGUGUAUGUGUGUACAGGUCAUUGUCAGAUGGAUGGCUGGAUUGAUAGAUCCUGUUUGUCUGCCUUCCAGUGCAUACAUGGGCAGAUGGAUAGAUAGUGUCUGGAGACCGUUGCUGGGUGUUAAGAAGACCAGGACCAGCUCCUAUCAUUUGCAAUGUGAUGGAAUGGUGGAACGAUUUAAUUGAACACUCCGCAAUCAGCUGGCUAAGACACAGCUCCAAUAGCCUGAAUCUCUCAUCUCCACCUCUGCCUCCAGAGUAGAGGGCACUGCAUGGGGCUCACGGAGCAGAGUAUCCGUCUCCCUGCCCGAGCGUAGUGACCACGACUCCCCAGCAGGCCGAAGCACAGCGUGGCGCCUGCAGGCACCCGUGGGGCGAACAUGUUGGAGAACACAGGCAGGAAGUGGAAGGAGACAAAGUUGGGAGCCUGGGAGUAGGCCUUGUCCCCCACCACUCACGGGUAGGGUGAGGAGGGUUCUUCUUGUUUCACCUGGGAAAUAUAACUUAACAAAAUAAUAAAUCCAAACUCGCAUCC
Oncorhynchus keta (chum salmon) is the source of this 686-nucleotide long non-coding RNA. RefSeq lists it as uncharacterized. Lineage: Eukaryota; Metazoa; Chordata; Actinopteri; Salmoniformes; Salmonidae. The transcript is spliced from 3 exons. The record is from RefSeq and is a predicted model, not a curated record.